UUGGCUUAGUGGUUAGAGCGUCCGCCUCGGAUGCGGGAGGUCGUGGGUUUGAUCCCCGGUCGAG
Molecule: non-coding RNA, 64 nt
Organism: Potamilus streckersoni
Lineage: Eukaryota; Metazoa; Mollusca; Bivalvia; Unionida; Unionidae
Source: the annotation of a GenBank genome assembly